This 775-nucleotide ribosomal RNA is filed under the name Cryptosporidium xiaoi. RNAcentral describes it as "SSU rRNA". It matches the Rfam family "Eukaryotic small subunit ribosomal RNA", at positions 251 to 1073 of the family's 1831-position model. The record is from RNAcentral. Lineage: Eukaryota; Apicomplexa; Conoidasida; Eucoccidiorida; Cryptosporidiidae.
UCAUAAUAACUUUACGGAUCACAUUAUGUGACAUAUCAUUCAAGUUUCUGACCUAUCAGCUUUAGACGGUAGGGUAUUGGCCUACCGUGGCUAUGACGGGUAACGGGGAAUUAGGGUUCGAUUCCGGAGAGGGAGCCUGAGAAACGGCUACCACAUCUAAGGAAGGCAGCAGGCGCGCAAAUUACCCAAUCCUAAUACAGGGAGGUAGUGACAAGAAAUAACAAUACAGAACCUUACGGUUUUGUAAUUGGAAUGAGUUAAGUAUAAACCCCUUAACAAGUAUCAAUUGGAGGGCAAGUCUGGUGCCAGCAGCCGCGGUAAUUCCAGCUCCAAUAGCGUAUAUUAAAGUUGUUGCAGUUAAAAAGCUCGUAGUUAAUCUUCUGUUAAUUUUUAUAUAUAAUAUUUCGGUAUUUAUAUAAUAUUAACAUAAUUCAUAUUACUUUUUAGUAUAUGAAACUUUACUUUGAGAAAAUUAGAGUGCUUAAAGCAGGCUAUUGCCUUGAAUACUCCAGCAUGGAAUAAUAUUAAGGAUUUUUAUUCUUCUUAUUGGUUCUAGAAUAAAAAUGAUGAUUAAUAGGAACAGUUGGGGGCAUUUGUAUUUAACAGUCAGAGGUGAAAUUCUUAGAUAUGUUAAAGACAAACUACUGCGAAAGCAUUUGCCAAGGAUGUUUUCAUUAAUCAAGAACGAAAGUUAGGGGAUCGAAGACGAUCAGAUACCGUCGUAGUCUUAACCAUAAACUAUGCCAACUAGAGAUUGGAGGUUGUUCCUUACUCC